UCAGUCGACUCCUACGGGGAGGCAGCAGUGGGGAAGUAUUGCACAAUGGGCGCAAGCCUGAUGCAGCCAUGCCGCGUGUGUGAAGAAGGCCUUCGGGUUGUAAAGCACUUUCAGUCGUGAGGAAGGUGGUAGUGUUAAUAGCACUAUCAUUUGACGUUAGCGACAGAAGAAGCACCGGCUAACUCCGUGCCAGCAGCCGCGGUAAUACGGAGGGUGCGAGCGUUAAUCGGAAUUACUGGGCGUAAAGCGCAUGCAGGUGGUUUGUUAAGUCAGAUGUGAAAGCCCGGGGCUCAACCUCGGAAUAGCAUUUGAAACUAGGCAGACUAGAGUACUGUAGAGGGGGGUAGGAAUUUCAGGUGUAGCGGUGAAAUGCGUAGAGAUCUGAAGGAAUACCGGUGGCGAAGGCGGCCCCCUCGGACAGAUACUGACACUCAGAUGCGAAAGCGUGGGGAGCAAACAGGAUUAGAUACCCUGGUAG
This 478-nucleotide ribosomal RNA is filed under the name uncultured bacterium. RNAcentral describes it as "bacterial SSU rRNA". It matches the Rfam family "Bacterial small subunit ribosomal RNA", at positions 328 to 793 of the family's 1533-position model. The record is from RNAcentral.